This 468-nucleotide ribosomal RNA is filed under the name uncultured bacterium. RNAcentral describes it as "partial 16S ribosomal RNA". It matches the Rfam family "Bacterial small subunit ribosomal RNA", at positions 28 to 507 of the family's 1533-position model. The record is from RNAcentral.
GACGAACGCUGGCGGCGUGCUUAACACAUGCAAGUCGAACGGAAAGGCCCUGCUUUUGUGGGGUGCUCGAGUGGCGAACGGGUGAGUAACACGUGAGUAACCUGCCCUUGACUUUGGGAUAACUUCAGGAAACUGGGGCUAAUACCGGAUAGGAGCUCCUGCUGCAUGGUGGGGGUUGGAAAGUUUCGGCGGUUGGGGAUGGACUCGCGGCUUAUCAGCUUGUUGGUGGGGUAGUGGCUUACCAAGGCUUUGACGGGUAGCCGGCCUGAGAGGGUGACCGGCCACAUUGGGACUGAGAUACGGACCAGACUCCUACGGGAGGCAGCAGUGGGGAAUAUUGCACAAUGGGCGGAAGCCUGAUGCAGCAACGCCGCAUGCGGGAUGACGGCCUUCGGGUUGUAAACCGCUUUCGCCUGUGACGAAGCGUGAGUGACGGUAAUGGGUAAAGAAGCACCGGCUAACUACGUG